ACUCAAAGGAAUAGACGGGGGCCCGCACAAGCGGUGGAGCAUGUGGUUCAAUUCGAUGCAACGCGAAGAACCUUACCUGGGUUUGAACUGCAACUGAAGAUUUCAGAGAUGGAAUUGUCUAGCAAUAGACAGUUGUAGAGGUGCUGCAUGGCUGUCGUCAGCUCGUGUCGUGAGAUGUUGGGUUAAGUCCCGCAACGAGCGCAACCCUUGCCUCUAGUUGCUCGGUCGUACGAUCAGCACUCUAGAUGGGACCGCCGGUGAUAAAUCGGAGGAAGGUGGGGAUGACGUCAAGUCAUCAUGGCCUUUAUGUCCAGGGCUACACACGUGCUACAAUGGCCGGAACAAAGGGUCGCAAAGCCGCAAGGUGGAGCCAAUCCCAUCAAAACCGGCCUCAGUUCGGAUUGCACUCUGCAACUCGAGUGCAUGAAGUUGGAAUCGCUAGUAAUCGCGGAUCAGCAUGCCGCGGUGAAUACGUUUCCGGGCCUUGCACACACCGCCCGU
This 501-nucleotide ribosomal RNA is filed under the name uncultured bacterium. RNAcentral describes it as "partial 16S ribosomal RNA". It matches the Rfam family "Bacterial small subunit ribosomal RNA", at positions 899 to 1397 of the family's 1533-position model. The record is from RNAcentral.